AGCGAACGCUGGCGGCAGGCUUAACACAUGCAAGUCGAGCGGGCACUUUCGGGUGUCCGCGGCGGACGGGUGUGUAACGCGUGGGAACGUGCCCUCUGGUUCGGAAUAACUCAGGGAAACUUGAGCUAAUACCGGAUACGCCCUUUUGGGGAAAGGCUUGCUGCCGGAGGAUCGGCCCGCGUCUGAUUAGCUAGUUGGUGAGGUAACGGCUCACCAAGGCGACGAUCAGUAGCUGGUCUGAGAGGAUGAUCAGCCACACUGGGACUGAGACACGGCCCAGACUCCUACGGGAGGCAGCAGUGGGGAAUAUUGGACAAUGGGCGCAAGCCUGAUCCAGCCAUGCCGCGUGAGUGAUGAAGGCCUUAGGGUUGUAAAGCUCUUUUAUCCGGGACGAUAAUGACGGUACCGGAGGAAUAAGCCCCGGCUAACUUCGUG
Molecule: ribosomal RNA, 435 nt
Filed under: uncultured bacterium
Lineage: Bacteria
Description: partial 16S ribosomal RNA
Rfam family: Bacterial small subunit ribosomal RNA
Source: RNAcentral